UACGGAGGAUGCGAGCGUUAUCCGGAUUUAUUGGGUUUAAAGGGUGCGCAGGCGGCACGGCAAGCCGGCGGUCAAAUCGCGGGGCUCAACCCCGCCCAGCCGUCGGAACUGCCGGGCUAGAGUGGGCGAGAAGUGCGCGGAAUGCGUGGUGUAGCGGUGAAAUGCAUAGAUAUAUGGAGGAACACCGGUGGCGAAAGCGGCUCUCUGGCCUGUAACUGACACUGAGGCUCGAAAGCGUGGGGAGCAAACAGG
This 252-nucleotide ribosomal RNA is filed under the name uncultured bacterium. RNAcentral describes it as "partial 16S ribosomal RNA". It matches the Rfam family "Bacterial small subunit ribosomal RNA", at positions 524 to 776 of the family's 1533-position model. The record is from RNAcentral.